Molecule: ribosomal RNA, 263 nt
Filed under: uncultured bacterium
Lineage: Bacteria
Description: partial 16S ribosomal RNA
Rfam family: Bacterial small subunit ribosomal RNA
Source: RNAcentral
CGGCACCUGUCUUCGGAUAGAAGCGAGUGGCGAACGGCUGAGUAACACGUGGAGAACCUGCCCCCUCCCCCGGGAUAGCCGCCCGAAAGGACGGGUAAUACCGGAUACCCCGGGGUGCCGCAUGGCACCCCGGCUAAAGCCCCGACGGAGGGGAUGGCUCCGCGGCCCAUCAGGUAGACGGCGGGGUGACGGCCCACCGUGCCGACAACGGGUAGCCGGGUUGAGAGACCGACCGGCCAGAUUGGGACUGAGACACGGCCCAG